Molecule: unclassified non-coding RNA, 778 nt
Filed under: Branchiura sowerbyi
Lineage: Eukaryota; Metazoa; Annelida; Clitellata; Tubificida; Naididae
Description: sequence contains ITS2
Rfam family: 5.8S ribosomal RNA (bases 4-124)
Source: RNAcentral
GGGUCGAUGAAGAACGCAGCCAGCUGCGUGAAGUAAUGUGAAUUGCAGGACACAUUGAACAUCGACAUCUUGAACGCACAUUGCGGCCUCGGGCAUUCCCGAGGCCACGCCUGUCUCAGGGUCGGUUGAACGUAUCUAUCGCCGGUUGUUCGUUUUGCCGGCGCAUUGGAUCGUCGCGGCACGCUGUUUCUCUCUCGUGUGUGUGUGUGUGCGGCGGCGGAUGCCGCGAUGUGGACUGGGCGAGCCCGGUCGUCGGUUGUUCGUUUUGCCGACGUCCCGGGACCACCGACCGGUCUGUGUCGUGGUGACUGCUGCCGUACAUGCGGUGGCGACGGUGGCGGAUGCUGUGAUGUGGACUGGGCGAGCCCGGUCGUCGGUUGUUCGUUUUGCCGACGUCCCGGGACCACCGACCGGUCUGCGUCGCGGUGACUGCUGCCGUAUGCCGCAGCACACGAUGCGUGCCACGUCGUCCGAAGUACAGACGGGUCGGCAUUGGCCGCGCGACCGCACGUACUCAGUCCGCUUUCGGACGGGGACGGCGACUCGGUUCACACUGUGUCGUCGCCUGUCUGGAAUCGGUACGGUUGCGCAGCCGCCGUCGAUCCAAGAGAGUGACUUUGUUGUCGUUGCGACGACGACGGCGGCGGCGGCGGCGGCGGCGCCGGGCUCACGCCUGGUGCUGCUGCUGCUGCUGCUGCUGCUGUUGUUGUUGCUUCGUCGACAUUUCGUUUUCUUCGACCUGAGAUCAGACGAGAUUACCCGCUGAAUUUAAGCAUAU